CCUACGGGAGGCAGCAGUGGGGAAUAUUGGACAAUGGGCGGAAGCCUGAUCCAGCCAUGCCGCGUGUGUGAAGAAGGCCUUUUGGUUGUAAAGCACUUUAAGCGAGGAGGAGGCUACUAGUAUUAAUACUACUGGAUAGUGGACGUUACUCGCAGAAUAAGCACCGGCUAACUCUGUGCCAGCAGCCGCGGUAAUACAGAGGGUGCGAGCGUUAAUCGGAUUUACUGGGCGUAAAGCGUGCGUAGGCGGCUGAUUAAGUCGGAUGUGAAAUCCCUGAGCUUAACUUAGGAAUUGCAUUCGAUACUGGUCAGCUAGAGUAUGGGAGAGGAUGGUAGAAUUCCAGGUGUAGCGGUGAAAUGCGUAGAGAUCUGGAGGAAUACCGAUGGCGAAGGCAGCCAUCUGGCCUAAUACUGACGCUGAGGUACGAAAGCAUGGGGAGCAAACAGGAUUAGAUACCCUGGUAGUCCAUGCCGUAAACGAUGUCUACUAGCCGUUGGGGUCUUUGAGACUUUAGUGGCGCAGCUAACGCGAUAAGUAGACCGCCUGGGGAGUACGGUCGCAAGCUAAAACUUAAAGGAAUUGACGG
Molecule: ribosomal RNA, 586 nt
Filed under: uncultured bacterium
Lineage: Bacteria
Description: bacterial SSU rRNA
Rfam family: Bacterial small subunit ribosomal RNA
Source: RNAcentral